Bubalus bubalis (water buffalo) is the source of this 637-nucleotide long non-coding RNA. RefSeq lists it as uncharacterized. Lineage: Eukaryota; Metazoa; Chordata; Mammalia; Artiodactyla; Bovidae. The record is from RefSeq and is a predicted model, not a curated record. The transcript is spliced from 4 exons.
CCCACUCCAGUAUUCUGGCCUGGAGAAUUCCAUGGACUGUAUAGUCCAUGGGGUUGCAAAGAGUCAGACACGACUGAGUGACUUUCACUUCACUUAAUUCACUUAAAUGGGGGGUGGGGUGUUGGGGGGUGUUCUGUGCUACAUUAGUUAGUGCUGUUACCUUGAUAUACCGGCCCUUGUUCUCCUGGCCCCUCCCCUCAGGCCAACCACAGAGAGACACUGGGGGGACCUCAGGUCUGAUGGAUCCCCUGGAAAAGGGUGUUUCCAGAAGAAGUUAGCUUUGGAAUUGGAGACUGAGUGGAGAAUAUGCCUCACCAAUUCACUGGAGCCAUCCCAGAAGACCUGACAGAGUUCCCAACAGCUGGGGCAACGAGUCCUUCAGAAGGAGGAUCUGGUGCUGCAGUGCCCUGACCCCACAAUUUGACUCAUGGCUCUCACCUCCCCCACCUGCUCCAAGCACAGUCCCUGGAGAGAAGGAAACCUAGAGACUGAGCCAACCCUUGUUGUACGGCUUUGAAAAGCACACACUGAGUUUUCUAGGAAUACACAACUACUAUAUAAAUCAAGGGAACAUGCAUACUUUGUGUAGUUUGGAAUUUUAUCAAGAAAUAUUCCUCUUUCAGGAAAUCAUGUCAGG